This 29-nucleotide small RNA is filed under the name Bombyx mori (domestic silkworm). RNAcentral describes it as "piRNA piR-bmo-1889155". Lineage: Eukaryota; Metazoa; Arthropoda; Insecta; Lepidoptera; Bombycidae. The record is from RNAcentral.
UGAAUGCAUGAUUUAACGUUUUCUACGUA